Molecule: non-coding RNA, 145 nt
Filed under: Pan troglodytes (chimpanzee)
Lineage: Eukaryota; Metazoa; Chordata; Mammalia; Primates; Hominidae
Source: Rfam by way of RNAcentral
GCUAGGCAUGGUGGUGCGUGCCUGUAAUCCCAGCUACUGGGGAGGCUGAGGCAGGAGAAUCGCUUGAACCCAGGAGGAGGUUGCAGUGAGCCGAGAUCGUGCCACUGCACUCCAGCCUGGGCAACAGAGUGAGACUCUGUCUCAA